Molecule: small nucleolar RNA, 138 nt
Filed under: Ornithorhynchus anatinus (platypus)
Lineage: Eukaryota; Metazoa; Chordata; Mammalia; Monotremata; Ornithorhynchidae
Source: RNAcentral
CCCCUUUCAAUGUCGCACCUGGAGAGUUUCCAGGACUCUACCAGUCUCAACUAUGGGAGGGAGAGUCAAGCAGAGACAUAUCUAUUCCAUUCCUAGCUUGGGUGGUAGCUAGUGAGUGGAAUGCAAUCUGCUACAAGU